GAUGAACGCUGGCGGCGUGCCUAAUACAUGCGAGUCGAGCGAACGGACGAGAAGCUUGCUUCUCUGAUGUUAGCGGCGGACGGGUGAGUAACACGUGGAUAACCUACCUAUAAGACUGGGAUAACUUCGGGAAACCGGAGCUAAUACCGGAUAAUAUUUUGAACCGCAUGGUUCAAAAGUGAAAGACGGUCUUGCUGUCACUUAUAGAUGGAUCCGCGCUGCAUUAGCUAGUUGGUAAGGUAACGGCUUACCAAGGCAACGAUGCAUAGCCGACCUGAGAGGGUGAUCGGCCACACUGGAACUGAGAAACGGUCCAGACUCCUACGGGAGGCGGCAGUAGGGAAUCUUCCGCAAUGGGCGAAAGCCUGACGGAGCAACGCCGCGUGAGUGAUGAAGGUCUUCGGAUCGUAAAACUCUGUUAUUAGGGAAGAACAUAUGUGUAAGUAACUGUGCACAUCUUGACGGUACCUAAUCAGAAAGCCACGGCUAACUACGUG
RNAcentral lists this ribosomal RNA (497 nucleotides) under uncultured bacterium. RNAcentral's name for it is "partial 16S ribosomal RNA". It matches the Rfam family "Bacterial small subunit ribosomal RNA", at positions 28 to 507 of the family's 1533-position model. The record is from RNAcentral.